AGACGGAGGUGGCAAACGCUAUUGGGAAUCACUGGGCUUAAAGGGCGUGUAGGCGGUUUGGUAAGUGAGGUGUGAAAGCCCCCGGCUCACCCGGGGAGGGUCAUCUCAUACUGCUGGACUUGAGUGCGGAAGAGGAUGGGGGAAUUCCUGGUGUAGCGGUGAAAUGCGUAGAUAUCAGGAGGAACUCCGGUGGCGAAGGCGCCCAUCUGGUCCGUUGCUGACGCUGAGGCGCGAAAGCUAGGGGAGCGAACGGGAUUAGAAACCCCGGUAGUCC
Molecule: ribosomal RNA, 274 nt
Filed under: uncultured bacterium
Lineage: Bacteria
Description: partial 16S ribosomal RNA
Rfam family: Bacterial small subunit ribosomal RNA
Source: RNAcentral